ACUGUCAAUCUUUUGUGAGAAACCCAUAAGAGCAGAAGAUGGGUCGCUCAGCAGCAGUACCUGGAUUUGGGAACUCAUUACUGGUGGAGAUUAGGAUGACCACAAAUCUCUCUGGCUUUAAAGCAAAGCAAAGCGAAAAACUUACUUCCUUGGCUUAGUUCUCACUUUUUCAUGUUCUCCAGAUGAAGGUGAGAAAGAAGAAGAGAGAGGAAAGAAGCAAAGGAAAAAGGAAGACUGAGAGAAGAAAGCAAACAGAGGGAAGAGAUGGGAAGAUGGUAGACAAUGCCCUUAGAAGGACCCUCACUGAGAGAAAUGGGAAGACAGCUCUCAGAGAAGGGAAUGGGUGCCCAGAUCGCAACUUGUUUGAAGCAUUGCCACCCAAAAAGACACAAGCAAACAGACUUCAGGACUUCCAGUGAAGACAACCAGAAAAACAGUGCUAACCAAAGCGUUCUAAAAGGAAACAGUGAGGAAGGUCUCUUCAGAAGUGCAAAACUCAACUAAAAUAAAACUCUAAUGAAGAAACA
RNAcentral lists this long non-coding RNA (527 nucleotides) under Numida meleagris (helmeted guineafowl). RNAcentral describes it as "lncRNA (ENSNMEG00000008723.1)". Lineage: Eukaryota; Metazoa; Chordata; Aves; Galliformes; Numididae. The record is from RNAcentral.